This 234-nucleotide ribosomal RNA is filed under the name uncultured Pseudomonas sp. RNAcentral describes it as "partial 16S ribosomal RNA". It matches the Rfam family "Bacterial small subunit ribosomal RNA", at positions 1149 to 1382 of the family's 1533-position model. The record is from RNAcentral. Lineage: Bacteria; Pseudomonadati; Pseudomonadota; Gammaproteobacteria; Pseudomonadales; Pseudomonadaceae.
UCGCCGGUGACAAACCGGAGGAAGGUGGGGAUGACGUCAAGUCAUCAUGGCCCUUACGGCCUGGGCUACACACGUGCUACAAUGGUCGGUACAAAGGGUUGCCAAGCCGCGAGGUGGAGCUAAUCCCAUAAAACCGAUCGUAGUCCGGAUCGCAGUCUGCAACUCGACUGCGUGAAGUCGGAAUCGCUAGUAAUCGUGAAUCAGAAUGUCACGGUGAAUACGUUCCCGGGCCUU